CCUACGGGAGGCAGCAGCGAGGAAUAUUGGUCAAUGGGCGCGAGCCUGAACCAGCCACGUAGCGUGAAGGAUGACUGCCCUACGGGUUGUAAACUUCUUUUAUAAAGGAAUAAAGUGAGGCACGUGUGCCUGUUUGUAUGUACUUUAUGAAUAAGGCACGGCGAACUCCGGGCCAGCGGCCGCGGUCAUACGGAGGAUCCGAGCGUUAUCCGGAUUUAUUGGGUGUAAAGGGAGCGUAGAUGGGUGGUUAAGUCAGUUGUGAAAGUUUGCGGCUCAACCGUCAAAUUGCAAUUGAUACUGGCAUCCUUGAGUACAGUUGAGGUAGGCGGAAUUCGUGGUGUAGCGGUGAAAUGCUUAGAUAUCACGAAGAACUCCGAUGGCGAAGGCAGCCUACUAAACUGCCACUGACAUUGAGGCUCGAAAGUGUGGGUAUCAAACAGGAUUAGAUACCCGGGUAGUC
This 460-nucleotide ribosomal RNA is filed under the name uncultured bacterium. RNAcentral's name for it is "partial 16S ribosomal RNA". It matches the Rfam family "Bacterial small subunit ribosomal RNA", at positions 338 to 795 of the family's 1533-position model. The record is from RNAcentral.